RNAcentral lists this ribosomal RNA (638 nucleotides) under uncultured bacterium. RNAcentral's name for it is "bacterial SSU rRNA". It matches the Rfam family "Bacterial small subunit ribosomal RNA", at positions 548 to 1184 of the family's 1533-position model. The record is from RNAcentral.
GAAUUAUUGGGCGUAAAGAGCUCGUAGGCGGUUUGUCGCGUCUGGUGUGAAAACUCAAGGCUCAACCUUUGAGCUUGCAUCGGGUACGGGCAGACUAGAGUGUGGUAGGGGGUGACUGGAAUUCCUGGUGUAGCCGUGGAAUGCGCAGAUAUCAGGAGGAACACCGAUGGCGAAGGCAGGUCACUGGCCCACUACUGACGCUGAGGAGCGAAAGCAUGGGGAGCGAACAGGAUUAGAUACCCUGGUAGUCCAUGCCGUAAACGUUGGGCACUAGGUGUGGGGCUCAUUCCACGAGUUCCGCGCCGCAGCUAACGCAUUAAGUGCCCCGCCUGGGGAGUACGGCCGCAAGGCUAAAACUCAAAGGAAUUGACGGGGGCCCGCACAAGCGGCGGAGCAUGCGGAUUAAUUCGAUGCAACGCGAAGAACCUUACCAAGGCUUGACAUACACCGGAAUCGGCCAGAGAUGGUCGCGUCUUCGGACUGGUGUACAGGUGGUGCAUGGUUGUCGUCAGCUCGUGUCGUGAGAUGUUGGGUUAAGUCCCGCAACGAGCGCAACCCUCGUCCUAUGUUGCCAGCACGUCAUGGUGGGGACUCAUAGGAGACUGCCGGGGUCAACUCGGAGGAAGGCGGGGACGACG